RNAcentral lists this ribosomal RNA (253 nucleotides) under uncultured bacterium. RNAcentral describes it as "partial 16S ribosomal RNA". It matches the Rfam family "Bacterial small subunit ribosomal RNA", at positions 524 to 776 of the family's 1533-position model. The record is from RNAcentral.
UACAGAGGGUGCGAGCGUUAAUCGGAAUUACUGGGCGUAAAGAGCUCGUAGGCGGCUUGUUGCGUCGACCGUGAAAACCCGGGGCUCAACUUCGGGCUUGCGGUCGAUACGGGCGGGCUAGAGUUCGGUAGGGGAGACUGGAAUUCCUGGUGUAGCGGUGAAAUGCGCAGAUAUCAGGAGGAACACCGGUGGCGAAGGCGGUUCUCUGGGCAUGAUCUGACGCUGAGGAGCGAAAGUGUGGGGAGCGAACAGG